This 497-nucleotide ribosomal RNA is filed under the name uncultured bacterium. Its description in RNAcentral is "partial 16S ribosomal RNA". It matches the Rfam family "Bacterial small subunit ribosomal RNA", at positions 28 to 507 of the family's 1533-position model. The record is from RNAcentral.
GAUGAACGCUGGCGGCGUGCCUAAUACAUGCAAGUCGAGCGAACGGACGCGAAGCUUGCUUCUCUGAUGUUAGCGGCGCACGGGUGUGUAACGCGUGGAUCACCUCCCUAUAAUUCUGGGAUCACUUCGGGACUCCGGCGCUUAUACCGUAUGAUCUUCUAAACCGCAUGGUUCAAAAGUGAGAUACGGUCUUGCUGUCACUUCUAGAUGGAUCCGCGCUGCAUUAGCUAGUUGGUAAGGUCACGGCUUAGCAAGGCAACGAUGCAUAGCCGACCUGAGAGGGUGAUCGGCCACACGGGAGCUGAGACACCGACCAGACGCCUACGGGACGGAGCAGUAGGGAAUCGGCCGCAAUGGGCGAGAGCCUGGCGGAGCGGCGCCGCGUGAGUGAUGAAGGUGUUCGGAGCGUAAAACUCUGUUAUUAGGGAUGAACAGAUGUGGAAUGAACUGUGCACAGCGUGACGGUACCUAAUAAGAAAGCCCCGGCUAACUACGUG